RNAcentral lists this unclassified non-coding RNA (382 nucleotides) under soil metagenome. RNAcentral's name for it is "partial contains 5.8S ribosomal RNA, internal transcribed spacer 2, and large subunit ribosomal RNA". The stretch from base 1 to 120 matches the Rfam family "5.8S ribosomal RNA", at positions 35 to 154 of the family's 154-position model. The record is from RNAcentral.
GAUGAAGAACGUAGCGAAAUGCGAUAAGUAAUGUGAAUUGCAGAAUUCAGUGAAUCAUCGAAUCUUUGAACGCACCUUGCACCGUUUGGCAGUCCGAAGGGUAUGCUCGUUUGAGUGUCAUUGUACUCUCACACUUCUGAUCCUUUGGAUUGGGAGCGGUGGACUUGGGUGUUGCUGCUUUACUGUGGCUCACCUCAAAUGCAUUCGUGCAACUCUUGGUUGGACAUAGUACGGCGUGAUAAGUAUCUUCGCCGGCACCUCGCAAGAGGGUGGCUGAUCAGGAGCUCUGUGCUUUCCAACUGUCUUCAGACAACAACUGACAACUUGACCUCAAAUCGAGUAGGACCACCCGCUGAACUUAAGCAUAUCAAUAAGCGGAGGA